GGAAGUUUGGAUAUGUCAUAUGUGUAAUGAGUUAUAUGCGUUCCUACUUUAUGAUGUUCCUUGGUUGUUUGCAUAUGGUUCCUUUGACAUAUGGAUGGUGUAUAUUUUGUGUAUAUGGAUGUACCCUCUAAUCUCAUUUGGUUCUACGACAUUGAGAGCAUAAAAAAGAUAAAUAGCUAAAUGAAAUUAGCAUUCUCUCUCUUAGUUAUAUAACAUUUUUUUCCUAUAUUGUUCUCUUCGCCAGAGAAUAUAACUUACAAUUUGGAUGAAACUUAUCAAUAUUUUUUAUCCAUUCAAUCACAG
RNAcentral lists this unclassified non-coding RNA (303 nucleotides) under Hevea brasiliensis (rubber tree). Lineage: Eukaryota; Viridiplantae; Streptophyta; Magnoliopsida; Malpighiales; Euphorbiaceae. The record is from RNAcentral.